RNAcentral lists this ribosomal RNA (506 nucleotides) under uncultured bacterium. RNAcentral's name for it is "partial 16S ribosomal RNA". It matches the Rfam family "Bacterial small subunit ribosomal RNA", at positions 29 to 523 of the family's 1533-position model. The record is from RNAcentral.
AGUGAACGCUGGCGGUAGGCCUAACACAUGCAAGUCGAACGGCAGCACAGGAGAGCUUGCUCUCUGGGUGGCGAGUGGCGGACGGGUGAGGAAUACAUCGGAAUCUACUCUGUCGUGGGGGAUAACGUAGGGAAACUUACGCUAAUACCGCAUACGACCUACGGGUGAAAGCAGGGGAUCUUCGGACCUUGCGCGAUUGAAUGAGCCGAUGUCGGAUUAGCUAGUUGGCGGGGUAAAGGCCCACCAAGGCGACGAUCCGUAGCUGGUCUGAGAGGAUGAUCAGCCACACUGGAACUGAGACACGGUCAAGACUCCUACGGGGGGCAGCAGUGGGGAAUAUUGGACAAUGGGCGCAAGCCUGAUCCAGCCAUACCGCGUGGGUGAAGAAGGCCUUCGGGUUGUAAAGCCCUUUUGUUGGGAAAGAAAUCCAGCUGGCUAAUACCCGGUUGGGAUGACGGUACCCAAAGAAUAAGCACCGGCUAACUUCGUGCCAGCAGCCGCUGUAA